Molecule: ribosomal RNA, 253 nt
Filed under: uncultured bacterium
Lineage: Bacteria
Description: partial 16S ribosomal RNA
Rfam family: Bacterial small subunit ribosomal RNA
Source: RNAcentral
UACGUAGGGGGCAAGCGUUGUCCGGAUUUAUUGGGCGUAAAGAGCGUGUAGGCGGCCAAGCAGGUCCGCUGUGAAAACUCGAGGCUCAACCUCGAGACGUCGGUGGAAACCGUCUGGCUAGAGUCCGGAAGAGGAGAGUGGAAUUCCUGGUGUAGCGGUGAAAUGCGCAGAUAUCAGGAAGAACACCCGUGGCUAAGGCGGCUCUCUAGUACGGUACUGACGCUGAGACGCGAAAGCGUGGGGAGCGAACAGG